GUGUCCUACGGGGGGCAGCAGUGGGGAAUAUUGCACAAUGGGGGAAACCCUGAUGCAGCGACGCCGCGUGAAGGAAGAAGUAUCUCGGUAUGUAAACUUCUAUCAGCAGGGAAGAAAAUGACGGUACCUGACUAAGAAGCCCCGGCUAACUACGUGCCAGCAGCCGCGGUAAUACGUAGGGGGCAAGCGUUAUCCGGAUUUACUGGGUGUAAAGGGAGCGUAGACGGUGCAGCAAGUCUGAUGUGAAAGGUCGGGGCCCAACCCCGGGACUGCAUUGGAAACUGUUGAACU
RNAcentral lists this ribosomal RNA (291 nucleotides) under uncultured bacterium. Its description in RNAcentral is "partial 16S ribosomal RNA". It matches the Rfam family "Bacterial small subunit ribosomal RNA", at positions 334 to 642 of the family's 1533-position model. The record is from RNAcentral.